This 2902-nucleotide ribosomal RNA is filed under the name Escherichia coli KTE48. RNAcentral's name for it is "bacterial LSU rRNA". It matches the Rfam family "Bacterial large subunit ribosomal RNA". The record is from RNAcentral. Lineage: Bacteria; Pseudomonadati; Pseudomonadota; Gammaproteobacteria; Enterobacterales; Enterobacteriaceae.
UUAAGCGACUAAGCGUACACGGUGGAUGCCCUGGCAGUCAGAGGCGAUGAAGGACGUGCUAAUCUGCGAUAAGCGUCGGUAAGGUGAUAUGAACCGUUAUAACCGGCGAUUUCCGAAUGGGGAAACCCAGUGUGUUUCGACACACUAUCAUUAACUGAAUCCAUAGGUUAAUGAGGCGAACCGGGGGAACUGAAACAUCUAAGUACCCCGAGGAAAAGAAAUCAACCGAGAUUCCCCCAGUAGCGGCGAGCGAACGGGGAGCAGCCCAGAGCCUGAAUCAGUGUGUGUGUUAGUGGAAGCGUCUGGAAAGGCGCGCGAUACAGGGUGACAGCCCCGUACACAAAAAUGCACAUAUUGUGAGCUCGAUGAGUAGGGCGGGACACGUGGUAUCCUGUCUGAAUAUGGGGGGACCAUCCUCCAAGGCUAAAUACUCCUGACUGACCGAUAGUGAACCAGUACCGUGAGGGAAAGGCGAAAAGAACCCCGGCGAGGGGAGUGAAAAAGAACCUGAAACCGUGUACGUACAAGCAGUGGGAGCACGCUUAGGCGUGUGACUGCGUACCUUUUGUAUAAUGGGUCAGCGACUUAUAUUCUGUAGCAAGGUUAACCGAAUAGGGGAGCCGAAGGGAAACCGAGUCUUAACUGGGCGUUAAGUUGCAGGGUAUAGACCCGAAACCCGGUGAUCUAGCCAUGGGCAGGUUGAAGGUUGGGUAACACUAACUGGAGGACCGAACCGACUAAUGUUGAAAAAUUAGCGGAUGACUUGUGGCUGGGGGUGAAAGGCCAAUCAAACCGGGAGAUAGCUGGUUCUCCCCGAAAGCUAUUUAGGUAGCGCCUCGUGAAUUCAUCUCCGGGGGUAGAGCACUGUUUCGGCAAGGGGGUCAUCCCGACUUACCAACCCGAUGCAAACUGCGAAUACCGGAGAAUGUUAUCACGGGAGACACACGGCGGGUGCUAACGUCCGUCGUGAAGAGGGAAACAACCCAGACCGCCAGCUAAGGUCCCAAAGUCAUGGUUAAGUGGGAAACGAUGUGGGAAGGCCCAGACAGCCAGGAUGUUGGCUUAGAAGCAGCCAUCAUUUAAAGAAAGCGUAAUAGCUCACUGGUCGAGUCGGCCUGCGCGGAAGAUGUAACGGGGCUAAACCAUGCACCGAAGCUGCGGCAGCGACGCUUAUGCGUUGUUGGGUAGGGGAGCGUUCUGUAAGCCUGUGAAGGUGUACUGUGAGGUAUGCUGGAGGUAUCAGAAGUGCGAAUGCUGACAUAAGUAACGAUAAAGCGGGUGAAAAGCCCGCUCGCCGGAAGACCAAGGGUUCCUGUCCAACGUUAAUCGGGGCAGGGUGAGUCGACCCCUAAGGCGAGGCCGAAAGGCGUAGUCGAUGGGAAACAGGUUAAUAUUCCUGUACUUGGUGUUACUGCGAAGGGGGGACGGAGAAGGCUAUGUUGGCCGGGCGACGGUUGUCCCGGUUUAAGCGUGUAGGCUGGUUUUCCAGGCAAAUCCGGAAAAUCAAGGCUGAGGCGUGAUGACGAGGCACUACGGUGCUGAAGCAACAAAUGCCCUGCUUCCAGGAAAAGCCUCUAAGCAUCAGGUAACAUCAAAUCGUACCCCAAACCGACACAGGUGGUCAGGUAGAGAAUACCAAGGCGCUUGAGAGAACUCGGGUGAAGGAACUAGGCAAAAUGGUGCCGUAACUUCGGGAGAAGGCACGCUGAUAUGUAGGUGAAGUCCCUCGCGGAUGGAGCUGAAAUCAGUCGAAGAUACCAGCUGGCUGCAACUGUUUAUUAAAAACACAGCACUGUGCAAACACGAAAGUGGACGUAUACGGUGUGACGCCUGCCCGGUGCCGGAAGGUUAAUUGAUGGGGUCAGCGCAAGCGAAGCUCUUGAUCGAAGCCCCGGUAAACGGCGGCCGUAACUAUAACGGUCCUAAGGUAGCGAAAUUCCUUGUCGGGUAAGUUCCGACCUGCACGAAUGGCGUAAUGAUGGCCAGGCUGUCUCCACCCGAGACUCAGUGAAAUUGAACUCGCUGUGAAGAUGCAGUGUACCCGCGGCAAGACGGAAAGACCCCGUGAACCUUUACUAUAGCUUGACACUGAACAUUGAGCCUUGAUGUGUAGGAUAGGUGGGAGGCUUUGAAGUGUGGACGCCAGUCUGCAUGGAGCCGACCUUGAAAUACCACCCUUUAAUGUUUGAUGUUCUAACGUUGACCCGUGAUCCGGGUUGCGGACAGUGUCUGGUGGGUAGUUUGACUGGGGCGGUCUCCUCCUAAAGAGUAACGGAGGAGCACGAAGGUUGGCUAAUCCUGGUCGGACAUCAGGAGGUUAGUGCAAUGGCAUAAGCCAGCUUGACUGCGAGCGUGACGGCGCGAGCAGGUGCGAAAGCAGGUCAUAGUGAUCCGGUGGUUCUGAAUGGAAGGGCCAUCGCUCAACGGAUAAAAGGUACUCCGGGGAUAACAGGCUGAUACCGCCCAAGAGUUCAUAUCGACGGCGGUGUUUGGCACCUCGAUGUCGGCUCAUCACAUCCUGGGGCUGAAGUAGGUCCCAAGGGUAUGGCUGUUCGCCAUUUAAAGUGGUACGCGAGCUGGGUUUAGAACGUCGUGAGACAGUUCGGUCCCUAUCUGCCGUGGGCGCUGGAGAACUGAGGGGGGCUGCUCCUAGUACGAGAGGACCGGAGUGGACGCAUCACUGGUGUUCGGGUUGUCAUGCCAAUGGCACUGCCCGGUAGCUAAAUGCGGAAGAGAUAAGUGCUGAAAGCAUCUAAGCACGAAACUUGCCCCGAGAUGAGUUCUCCCUGACUCCUUGAGAGUCCUGAAGGAACGUUGAAGACGACGACGUUGAUAGGCCGGGUGUGUAAGCGCAGCGAUGCGUUGAGCUAACCGGUACUAAUGAACCGUGAGGCUUAACCUU